RNAcentral lists this ribosomal RNA (2900 nucleotides) under Klebsiella pneumoniae. RNAcentral describes it as "bacterial LSU rRNA". It matches the Rfam family "Bacterial large subunit ribosomal RNA". The record is from RNAcentral. Lineage: Bacteria; Pseudomonadati; Pseudomonadota; Gammaproteobacteria; Enterobacterales; Enterobacteriaceae.
UUAAGCGACUAAGCGUACACGGUGGAUGCCCUGGCAGUCAGAGGCGAUGAAGGACGUGCUAAUCUGCGAAAAGCGUCGGUAAGGUGAUAUGAACCGUUAUAACCGGCGAUGUCCGAAUGGGGAAACCCAGUGUGAUUCGUCACACUAUCGUUAACUGAAUACAUAGGUUAACGAGGCGAACCGGGGGAACUGAAACAUCUAAGUACCCCGAGGAAAAGAAAUCAACCGAGAUUCCCCCAGUAGCGGCGAGCGAACGGGGAGCAGCCCAGAGUCUGAAUCAGCUUGUGUGUUAGUGGAACGGUCUGGAAAGUCCGACGGUACAGGGUGAUAGUCCCGUACACCAAAAUGCACAGGCUGUGAACUCGAAGAGUAGGGCGGGACACGUGGUAUCCUGUCUGAAUAUGGGGGGACCAUCCUCCAAGGCUAAAUACUCCUGACUGACCGAUAGUGAACCAGUACCGUGAGGGAAAGGCGAAAAGAACCCCGGCGAGGGGAGUGAAAAAGAACCUGAAACCGUGUACGUACAAGCAGUGGGAGCACCUUCGGGUGUGACUGCGUACCUUUUGUAUAAUGGGUCAGCGACUUAUAUUCUGUAGCAAGGUUAACCGUAUAGGGGAGCCGCAGGGAAACCGAGUCUUAACUGGGCGUUAAGUUGCAGGGUAUAGACCCGAAACCCGGUGAUCUAGCCAUGGGCAGGUUGAAGGUUGGGUAACACUAACUGGAGGACCGAACCGACUAAUGUUGAAAAAUUAGCGGAUGACUUGUGGCUGGGGGUGAAAGGCCAAUCAAACCGGGAGAUAGCUGGUUCUCCCCGAAAGCUAUUUAGGUAGCGCCUCGUGAAUUCAUCUUCGGGGGUAGAGCACUGUUUCGGCUAGGGGGUCAUCCCGACUUACCAACCCGAUGCAAACUACGAAUACCGAAGAAUGUUAUCACGGGAGACACACGGCGGGUGCUAACGUCCGUCGUGAAGAGGGAAACAACCCAGACCGCCAGCUAAGGUCCCAAAGUCAUGGUUAAGUGGGAAACGAUGUGGGAAGGCACAGACAGCCAGGAUGUUGGCUUAGAAGCAGCCAUCAUUUAAAGAAAGCGUAAUAGCUCACUGGUCGAGUCGGCCUGCGCGGAAGAUGUAACGGGGCUAAACCAUGCACCGAAGCUGCGGCAGCGACACUAUGUGUUGUUGGGUAGGGGAGCGUUCUGUAAGCCUGCGAAGGUGUGCUGUGAGGCAUGCUGGAGGUAUCAGAAGUGCGAAUGCUGACAUAAGUAACGAUAAAGCGGGUGAAAAGCCCGCUCGCCGGAAGACCAAGGGUUCCUGUCCAACGUUAAUCGGGGCAGGGUGAGUCGGCCCCUAAGGCGAGGCCGAAAGGCGUAGUCGAUGGGAAACAGGUUAAUAUUCCUGUACUUGGUGUUACUGCGAAGGGGGGACGGAGAAGGCUAUGUUAGCCGGGCGACGGUUGUCCCGGUUUAAGCAUGUAGGCUGGUUGUCCAGGCAAAUCCGGAUAAUCAAGGCUGAGGUGUGAUGACGAGGCACUACGGUGCUGAAGUAACAAAUGCCCUGCUUCCAGGAAAAGCCUCUAAGCAUCAGGUAACAUCAAAUCGUACCCCAAACCGACACAGGUGGUCAGGUAGAGAAUACCAAGGCGCUUGAGAGAACUCGGGUGAAGGAACUAGGCAAAAUGGUGCCGUAACUUCGGGAGAAGGCACGCUGGUGUGUAGGUGAAGCCCCUGCGGGUGGAGCUGAGACCAGUCGAAGAUACCAGCUGGCUGCAACUGUUUAUUAAAAACACAGCACUGUGCAAACACGAAAGUGGACGUAUACGGUGUGACGCCUGCCCGGUGCCGGAAGGUUAAUUGAUGGGGUUAUCCGUAAGGAGAAGCUCUUGAUCGAAGCCCCGGUAAACGGCGGCCGUAACUAUAACGGUCCUAAGGUAGCGAAAUUCCUUGUCGGGUAAGUUCCGACCUGCACGAAUGGCGUAAUGAUGGCCAGGCUGUCUCCACCCGAGACUCAGUGAAAUUGAACUCGCUGUGAAGAUGCAGUGUACCCGCGGCAAGACGGAAAGACCCCGUGAACCUUUACUAUAGCUUGACACUGAACAUUGAGCCUUGAUGUGUAGGAUAGGUGGGAGGCUUUGAAGCGUGGACGCCAGUCUGCGUGGAGCCAACCUUGAAAUACCACCCUUUAAUGUUUGAUGUUCUAACGUUGGCCCCUUACCGGGGUUGCGGACAGUGUCUGGUGGGUAGUUUGACUGGGGCGGUCUCCUCCCAAAGCGUAACGGAGGAGCACGAAGGUUAGCUAAUCCUGGUCGGACAUCAGGAGGUUAGUGCAAUGGCAUAAGCUAGCUUGACUGCGAGCGUGACGGCGCGAGCAGGUGCGAAAGCAGGUCAUAGUGAUCCGGUGGUUCUGAAUGGAAGGGCCAUCGCUCAACGGAUAAAAGGUACUCCGGGGAUAACAGGCUGAUACCGCCCAAGAGUUCAUAUCGACGGCGGUGUUUGGCACCUCGAUGUCGGCUCAUCACAUCCUGGGGCUGAAGUAGGUCCCAAGGGUAUGGCUGUUCGCCAUUUAAAGUGGUACGCGAGCUGGGUUUAGAACGUCGUGAGACAGUUCGGUCCCUAUCUGCCGUGGGCGCUGGAGAAUUGAGGGGGGCUGCUCCUAGUACGAGAGGACCGGAGUGGACGCAUCACUGGUGUUCGGGUUGUCAUGCCAAUGGCACUGCCCGGUAGCUAAAUGCGGAAGAGAUAAGUGCUGAAAGCAUCUAAGCACGAAACUUGCCCCGAGAUGAGUUCUCCCUGAGACUUUAAGUCUCCUGAAGGAACGUUGAAGACGACGACGUUGAUAGGCCGGGUGUGUAAGCGCAGCGAUGCGUUGAGCUAACCGGUACUAAUGAACCGUGAGGCUUAACCUU